GUGAUGACGAGGCACUACGGUGCUGAAGCAACAAAUGCCCUGCUUCCAGGAAAAGCCUCUAAGCAUCAGGUAACAUCAAAUCGUACCCCAAACCGACACAGGUGGUCAGGUAGAGAAUACCAAGGCGCUUGAGAGAACUCGGGUGAAGGAACUAGGCAAAAUGGUGCCGUAACUUCGGGAGAAGGCACGCUGAUAUGUAGGUGAAGCGACUUGCUCGUGGAGCUGAAAUCAGUCGAAGAUACCAGCUGGCUGCAACUGUUUAUUAAAAACACAGCACUGUGCAAACACGAAAGUGGACGUAUACGGUGUGACGCCUGCCCGGUGCCGGAA
Molecule: ribosomal RNA, 330 nt
Filed under: Escherichia coli
Lineage: Bacteria; Pseudomonadati; Pseudomonadota; Gammaproteobacteria; Enterobacterales; Enterobacteriaceae
Description: partial 23S ribosomal RNA
Rfam family: Bacterial large subunit ribosomal RNA
Source: RNAcentral